UGGGGAAUCUUAGACAAUGGGGGAAACCCUGAUCUAGCCAUGCCGCGUGAGCGAUGAAGGCCUUAGGGUUGUAAAGCUCUUUCAGCUGGGAAGAUAAUGGCGGUACCAGCAGAAGAAGCCCCGGNUAACUCCGUGCCAGCAGCCGCGGUAAUACGGAGGGGGCUAGCGUUGUUCGGAAUUACUGGGCGUAAAGCGCACGUAGGCGGAUUAGUCAGUCAGAGGUGAAAUCCCAGGGCUCAACCCUGGAACUGCCUUUGAUACUGCUAGUCUUGAGGUCGAGAGAGGUGAGUGGAAUUCCGAGUGUAGAGGUGAAAUUCGUAGAUAUUCGGAGGAACACCAGUGGCGAAGGCGGCUCACUGGCUCGAUACUGACGCUGAGGUGCGAAAGCGUGGGGAGCAAAACAGGAUUUAGAUACCCUGGUAGUCCACGCCGUAAACGAUGAUGCCAGUCGUNGGGUUGCAUGCAAUUCGGUACACACCUAAAGGGNUUUAAGCAUUCCGCCUGGGGAGUACGGUCGCAAGA
This 522-nucleotide ribosomal RNA is filed under the name uncultured bacterium. RNAcentral describes it as "partial 16S ribosomal RNA". It matches the Rfam family "Bacterial small subunit ribosomal RNA", at positions 355 to 893 of the family's 1533-position model. The record is from RNAcentral.